Molecule: ribosomal RNA, 391 nt
Filed under: Duttaphrynus melanostictus (Asian common toad)
Lineage: Eukaryota; Metazoa; Chordata; Amphibia; Anura; Bufonidae
Description: partial 12S ribosomal RNA
Rfam family: Bacterial small subunit ribosomal RNA
Source: RNAcentral
GCCCAGCCGUAAACUUUUACUUACACUCAAUCGCCAGGGAACUACGAGGUAAGCUUAAAACCCAAAGGACUUGACGGUACCCCAUAUCCCCCUAGAGGAGCCUGUCCUAUAAUCGAUAACCCACGUUAAACCUCACCAUUUUUAGUUAAUCAGCCUGUAUACCUCCGUCGUCAGCUUACCACGUGAGCGUUAAUUAGUGAGCCUAAUGUUUUUCACCAAUACGUCAGGUCAAGGUGCAGCAAAUGAAAUGGGAAGAGAUGGGCUACACUCUCUAUUUUAGAAAAAACGAAAAACUACCUAUGAAACACUAGUUAGAAGGCGGAUUUAGCCAGUAAGAAACGGAGCAUGUCCCUUUUAAUCCGGCACUGGGGUGUGUACACACCGCCCGUCA